AUGAAGCGGAAGUUCAUUAUGAUGCCAGUGCUCAUCGAAGGUCCGAAGCAACCCGGCAACGACAUCGAUGUGUACCUAAGGCCAUUAGUUGAUGAACUUUUACAGCUGUGGGGUGGUGUCCGUGUGUGGGAUGAGCACAAACAAGAGGAAUUUGACCUACGAGCGUUGCUUUUCGUAACCAUCAACGAUUGGCCUGCUCUUAGUAACCUUUCGGGACUGUCAAAUAAGGGAUACAAUGCAUGCACGCACUGCUUACAUGAGACUGAAAGUGUACAUUUGCCAAAUUGUAAGAAGAACGUGUACCUUGGGCAUCGUCGAUUUCUUCCGAAAAUUCAUCCAGUAAGAAAGAAAGGCAAGCAUUACAACGGCAAGGCAGAUCACCGGCCGAAGCCUGCGGAACGCACUGGUGCUGAGGUAUUUGAUAUGGUCAAGGAUUUGAAAGUCAUCUUUGGAAAGGGUCCUGGCGGACAAUCAGUUCCAAAGGGAGCUGACGGGCACGCAGCCAUGUGGAAGAAGAAAUCUAUAUUCUGGGAGCUAGAAUAUUGGAAAGUCCUAGAUGUCCGCUCUGCAAUCGACGUGAUGCACGUUACGAAGAAUAUUUGCGUGAACCUCCUAAGCUUCUUGGGCGUGUAUGGGAAGACAAAUGAUACAAAGGAAGCACGGCAGGACCAGCAACGUUUGAAAGACCCUGAUGACCGGCAUCCGGAAUGGUUUCAAGGUCGUGCCAGCUACGCUCUGACCAGAGAAGAGAAGGUCAUCUUUUUUGAAUGCCUGAGCAGUAUGAAGGUCCCGUCUGGAUUCUCGUCCAAUAUAAAGGGAAUAAUAAACAUGGCGGAGAAAAAGUUCCAAAACCUGAAGUCUCACGACUGCCACGUGAUUAUGACGCAAUUGCUUCCGAUUGCUUUGAGGGGGCUCCUGCCGGAAAAUGUUCGAGUAGCCAUUGUGAAGCUAUGUGCAUUCCUCAAUGCAAUCUCUCAGAAGGUAAUCAAUCCAGAAGUUCUACCACGGUUACAGAACGAUGUGAUCCAAUGUCUUGUCAGUUUCGAGUUGGUGUUCCCGCCAUCCUUCUUCAAUAUUAUGACGCACCUCCUGGUUCACCUAGUCGAAGAGAUUUUCGUUCUCGGUCCUGUAUUUCUACACAAUAUGUUCCCCUUCGAGAGGUUCAUGAGAGUAUUAAAGAAAUAUGUUCGUAACCGUGCUAGGCCAGAAGGAAGCAUCGCCAAGGGCUAUGGAAAUGAGGAGGUAAUUGAGUUUUGUGUUGACUUUGUUCCUGACCUUAAGCCGAUUGGUCUUCCUCGAUCGCGGCACGAGGGGAGACUAAGUGGAAAAGGCACGAUCGGAAGGAAAUCAACGAUAUGUAUGGACGGCCAUUCUCUGACUGAAGCACACCACACUGUACUGACCAAUUCCAGCUUGGUGGCUCCGUACUUUGAGAAACACAAGAAUAUUUUACGCUCGGACAACCCGGGGAAGCCUGAAUCCUGGAUUAGGAAGGCCCACAUGGAGACUUUCGGCAGUUGGUUGAGAAAACAUUUAAUGAAUGACAAUGAUGUUGUAGAUCAGCUGUACAUGUUGGCCAAGACACCAUCUUCGACUAUAACGACUUUCCAAGGGUACGAGAUAAAUGGGAAUACAUUUUACACGAUCGCCCAAGAUAAAAACAGCACCAACCAAAACAGUGGUGUCUGCUUUGAUGCAGCAACCGAGAAUGGGCAAAAGGUCACAUAUUAUGGUUACAUAGAGGAGAUAUGGGAACUUGACUAUGGACCCUCCUUUAAGGUCCCUUUGUUCCGGUGCAAAUGGUUCAAGCUAACAGGAGGUGGGGUAAAGGUGGACCAGCAAUACGGAAUGACAAUGGUGGAUUUCAACAAUCUUGGUUACCUUGACGAACCAUUCGUCCUAGCGAAAGAUGUCGCUUAG
RNAcentral lists this ribosomal RNA (1920 nucleotides) under Triticum aestivum (bread wheat). RNAcentral's name for it is "partial small subunit ribosomal RNA". Lineage: Eukaryota; Viridiplantae; Streptophyta; Magnoliopsida; Poales; Poaceae. The record is from RNAcentral.